UAGAGUUUGAUCAUGGCUCAGAACGAACGCUGGCGGCAGGCCUAACACAUGCAAGUCGAGCGCGCCUUCGGGUGAGCGGCGGACGGGUUAGUAACGCGUGGGAACGUGCCCUUCUCUACGGAAUAGCCUCUGGAAACGGAGAGUAAUACCGUAUACGCCCUUUGGGGGAAAGAUUUAUCGGAGAAGGAUCGGCCCGCGUUAGAUUAGGUAGUUGGUGGGGUAACGGCCUACCAAGCCUACGAUCUAUAGCUGGUUUUAGAGGAUGAUCAGCAACACUGGGACUGAGACACGGCCCAGACUCCUACGGGAGGCAGCAGUGGGGAAUCUUAGACAAUGGGGGCAACCCUGAUCUAGCCAUGCCGCGUGAGUGAUGAAGGCCUUAGGGUCGUAAAGCUCUUUCGCCUGUGAUGAUAAUGACAGUAGCAGGUAAAGAAACCCCGGCUAACUCCGUGCCAGCAGCCGCGGUAAUACGGAGGGGGUUAGCGUUGUUCGGAAUUACUGGGCGUAAAGCGCGCGUAGGCGGAUUAGAAAGUUGGGGGUGAAAUCCCGGGGCUCAACCUCGGAACUGCCUCCAAAACUGCUAGUCUAGAGUUCGAGAGAGGUGAGUGGAAUUCCGAGUGUAGAGGUGAA
This 630-nucleotide ribosomal RNA is filed under the name uncultured bacterium. Its description in RNAcentral is "bacterial SSU rRNA". It matches the Rfam family "Bacterial small subunit ribosomal RNA", at positions 1 to 685 of the family's 1533-position model. The record is from RNAcentral.